UCCUCCAUUGGGGCCGAAUCUCAGAGAGUCAUCCUCCAUAACGUCAUCUACCUGGAUCAGUUCUCGAAUAUCUGCCAAGACAGGAUAGUC
Molecule: long non-coding RNA, 90 nt
Organism: Sinocyclocheilus grahami
Lineage: Eukaryota; Metazoa; Chordata; Actinopteri; Cypriniformes; Cyprinidae
Exons: 3
Source: RefSeq, a predicted model, not a curated record